UACGGGGGGGGCAAGCGUUGUUCGGAAUUACUGGGCGUAAAGGGCUUGUAGGUGGCCAACUAAGUCAGACGUGAAAUCCCCCGGCUUAACCGGGGAACUGCGUCUGAUACUGGAUGGCUUGAGUUUGGGAGAGGGAUGCGGAAUUCCAGGUGUAGCGGUGAAAUGCGUAGAUAUCUGGAGGAACACCGGUGGCGAAGGCGGCAUCCUGGACCAAUACUGACACUGAAAAGCGAAAGCCAGGGGAGCAAACGGG
This 253-nucleotide ribosomal RNA is filed under the name uncultured bacterium. Its description in RNAcentral is "partial 16S ribosomal RNA". It matches the Rfam family "Bacterial small subunit ribosomal RNA", at positions 524 to 776 of the family's 1533-position model. The record is from RNAcentral.